Molecule: long non-coding RNA, 377 nt
Filed under: Populus trichocarpa (black cottonwood)
Lineage: Eukaryota; Viridiplantae; Streptophyta; Magnoliopsida; Malpighiales; Salicaceae
Description: long non-coding RNA (PTRI_LNC001331)
Source: RNAcentral
CCACCACCACCAUUAGAAGAACACCAAUUGUUUACGCUCUUUUAGCCUUCUUCUUGUUAUUACGAUUCUCCUCCUCCACGGAUACACCUCCUGAACAAUCACCAUCUCCAUCUCCUCAACAAUCCGAUUCACCAUUACUAUCUCCUCCUCCUCUUCUUCCACCCCCCUCUCUCUCACCAGAAACCGGAUCUCCCUCACCGACGACAAUGGCAUCCCCACCAGCAUCACCUCCUUCAGAUCUGACGGCUCAUGUGCCCGCACCGGCUGAGAAUGUUCCAGAUCCGGAUCCGUCGGUGGCGAGCGAUAUAAAUGUGAAAGCAGGAAAUGGGAGUGAAGACGAUGAAGAACAAGGGUCUGAGGGAAUGAGUGGGGGGAAG